RNAcentral lists this unclassified non-coding RNA (14106 nucleotides) under Anthonomus grandis grandis. RNAcentral's name for it is "protein dispatched". The record is from RNAcentral. Lineage: Eukaryota; Metazoa; Arthropoda; Insecta; Coleoptera; Curculionidae.
CCCUCGUGACCGUGAAAAUAUCAAUAGAAUAAAACAAUAAUUCCCUAUUUGCGGUUUUUGUUUUUUUUUCCUCUACUUGACUGAACUGUAGGGAAUUAAGGGUGGUUUGACUGUAGGCUGUAGCAUACAGUUUUCAGAAUGGCAAUCGAAUAUGGAAACUGAAAAUGGAAAAAAGGGCUGAUCCAAUGAUUGAAACUCUGGAAUGGUGGUAACCUGUGGAUUUAUGUUAUCAUUUUUUAUUUCUGUUGAUAAACUAAAUAGAAUAUGAAAACUUAAAAAACCGUAUCAUAGAAAUACGUCCAAUCAAGCAAGAAAAAAUCUUAAAAUGCAGAUUCCAUCAUGGUAUAUAACAGUUUUAGUAAAAUACCCGCAACUCGUUUUAUUGUUGAUUACUGGUUUUACAGUGAUAUGUGUAAUUUUGCCAUUUUUUGUAAAUGACAUGAGACUACCAAAAUUUCAAGAUCCCCAGUUGGGAUUUUCGACCAGAGGUACAGAAAUAUCAGCCACUUUGAUAGCAUGGGAAAACCUACAAAAAGAAUUAAAGCCAUCUGGUAGUCUAACAAAGAAUCCCAAAGAGUAUCUGAUGAUCAGGAAUAGGACCAGUCCCAUUAAUUCGAAAGAUCCAUACUUUAGAACUCGAGGCACAAGAAGAAAGCAAAAAUCUCUAGGAACUAGGGAUAGCAAAACUGAGCAAGAUUUUAUAAAUGAAACAGUUUAUGGAAAAGUAAUAAAAACUGAGAAGAAUGCCAUGAUAAUGCCGGAAGUAUCUAACAAGUGGCAAGUCAUUCAGAAUUUGACUGACACAAUCCCUAGUUAUAAGAGCCUCAAUUAUCACAAACAGUUUUGUGGCUCACCAGAUGAAAAAUAUUCCCAUUUAGUAAUUUCAACACCGAAUAAGGAAAACUUAUUUAGCCAUAAAAACCUAUUAUCACUAUGCAGAUUAGAAAAUGUUUUAAUGAGCUUACAUAGUGUGCCGCAACUCUGCAUUUCCAACACAGAGGUUGAAGGAGAAUGCUGCAAACCCUGGUCAUUAGCUAAUUACAUCGCUGCACUUUUUGGACGAACUUCAUGUUUACAGAUUACGGAAAAGGAUGUUAAGCGGACGUACCAACUUCUUAAAAAGUGCGCCGGAUUUUAUCAUCGCAAUGAACUUAAUACUAAUUGUUUUAAAAAGAAGCACUGUGAUAUUCCUGUAAACUGCCUAAAGCACGACGCAGUUGUGAACAUUCUCAGUUUUUUGUCUGGCAAGACUUUCUUUCCUGCAGAGACAUUUAUGAAUGACUCGCAAAUUCUCGAGGAAACUAUUUUAUUCUUUCCGAUAGCUGCAAGCAUUGCCAGCGUGUCCUUCUAUAAGGAAAUUGAAGAAAAACUUACCUCUAAGAAGUUUGAAGGUCUGCUAAUAGUAGCGGCGGAUUUUGGAAUUAAAAGUAUGCUAUUCGACGAGUACUUAAAAGAGGAUGCGCGAUUUAUGGCUCUGGCAGGAUUAAUCAUAUUUAUAUUUAUCUGGUCUUACACUGGAUCUUUCUUUUUAACAGUUAUGACUGGCGCAACUAUAUUUAUUCAGCUGAUUGUGGCCUAUUUUUGCUAUGAGAUGAUAUUCAAAAUACCUUUUUUUCCAUUCAUGAAUUUGUUGGCAAUAAUUAUAUCAUUAGGAAUUGGAGCAGAUAGUUCAUUUAUUUUAUGUAAAAUGUGGCAUGUGAAGAAAAAUGAUGAAGCUAAUGACAAUGAUGUCCAUGAAAUAUUGACUGGUACGAUUAAACAUGCUUUUAAAUCAAUGUUUGUUACCGCCUUGACAACGGCCGUAGCCUUUUGGGGUUCUUAUGUCAGUACUGUUACUGCUAUUAGCUGCUUUAGUAUAUUUGCCGGGACUGCAGUUAUAUUAAAUUAUCUCUUAAUGAUUUCCUGGAUUCCAGCCUGUUUAGUUAUUUGGGAAAAGUCAUGGCUCUCUCACUCCAUACAUCCGGUUUGUUUUGUAAUGUUCAGCCAAUUGUUCUGUUGUUUUAAAUCGCAAUGGACUAUGUCACCUGUAUUUGGAAAAUGUCUCACUGCUUUAUGGAAUGGAAAAAAGGAGUUACUUAUCCAACUAAUCAUAAAGUUAAGAUAUUUUUGGAUCCUAAGUUUUACUAUUCUGGGAGCAACAAGCGGUUUCCUCGUGUUUGUGAAACCGGGAAUUGGCCCACCGGUAACAGCUGAAUUUCAACUUUUUCGAUCAGAUCAUCUAUUUGAGAAAUAUGAUUUUGAAUACAAAAACAAGUUCUUAUUUAAAACCGGAGGGGAAGACAUGACCAACAGAGAUUUCCCCAUGCCGUUACGAUUUGUAUGGGGUGUUUUACCAAUAGAUAAUGGAAAUCCGUUGGACCCUUCAAACUUGGGAACUUUAAUAAUGGAUCCAGAAUUUAACGCCACCGAUCUAGAAUCGCAAAGUUGGUUAAUGGAUUUUUGUAAUAAGAUAAAGUCCCAACCGUUUUAUCAGCCUAUGGUAAUAGGUGUGUCGCUAACCAGUUGUUUUCUUAAAACAUUUGCUGAUAGCAUGAAGCAGCCGUGCCAUGAUAGAUUAUCAAAAAAAGAUAGAACUCCCUGUUGUAAUGUGUCCCACUUCCCGUUUGAACGUGAAGUUUUUAAUUACUGUAUCAUGGAAGAAAUGGAAGAUAUUUAUAAUGGACCAGACAGAUUUGUAUAUCCAAAAACAGCCGGAGCCAUGUUCUCCAAAGAAGACAAUCCUGAAAUUAAAGCCAUUGUAGUGGAGUUUGAUAGUAAUGUAACUUUUUCAUUAUCAUACGAAAAAGUUAAUAAAUUUUAUCUCGAGUUAGAAUCUUGGAGGAAACGCCAGAUGAGGACAGCUCCAUUUUCUAUGAAGAACGGCUUUUUUGUUAGUGAGUUAGGAUUUUUCGACUUACAGCGCGAAUUAAGUAGAGGUACCCAAACAGCAAUUUUCGUGUCCAUGGUUCUGGCCACAGUUGUGCUAAUAAUUUCCACUCUGAACCCUAUUCUUACGGUUGCUGCUAUCGUUACCAUAACCUUUAGUAUUUUAUCUACUAUAGCGGCUUUAAUACUUUUCGGUUGGAGUCUAAAUAUUUUGGAAUCUCUAGCAAUUUCAUCUGCAAUCGGGUUAUCUGUUGAUUUUAGUUUGCAUUAUUGCAUAAAUUAUAGAAUUUGCCCACGAGAAAUGGCUGGGAAUCGUGAGCAGAUUACACGAUAUGCCCUUUCCUGUUUAAUGGGCCCGUCUUUUAUGGCAGCACUAACAACUGUGGCCGCCGGGUGUUCUAUGCUAUUUUCGAUAAUAUUACCAUAUUACCAGAUAGGAUUAUUUCUAGUAUUAAUUAUGACAAUAAGUUGGACUUAUGCAACGUUCUUUUUGGGGUCUCUUUUGGCUACCAUAGGACCACAAAACAGUUGCCAAUAUACUUACAAAGCAUUAUUUCGAAAUGCUUUUUGUAGAGAAAAUAAAUCUACAACACUACCGAACUGUGAUUCAACACAAAAUAGAUCCACUGUUUCGGAAUUAGACAGGGUUUCUUUUAUUAAGCGAGAUACAUCACAGCCGUUGAAAAAGAAAACAUCAUUUCUUAAAGACUCUGCUGUCAGAUAUACGGUUGAGAAUCAAAUUAAUGAUCAAUCUCCUUCCAGCAAUGUUACAAUCAUAAUGGCAGAGGAUAAUUAAAGUUUAUUUGAUAAUAAUAGUAAUAAGCUCUCAUAUCUAUCAGAAGUAAAUUAAUUUUGAUAUUUACGAACUAUUUUACAAUACUUUUUUUAAAAGUCACAUCUUUAUUUCACUAUUUCUUAUUUUUACAAGUCGAAAAUUAGUUAUAAAAAGAAAGUUAAUUGUCAAAAAUCGAGGGCAGAGCAAUUAUUUUUUGUCAACUUGCACUUGUCUUUCUAUGGAUGUCUAAUAGUUUGCUUUUAGAACUCUUUUGAGUAUAACAAUAUAAUAGUGAAAGAUGAUAGAUAUUGAUGAUGUAUAUUGGAAAACUAUUUAGAUGUACUAUUUGUUUUUUAGAUAUUCCAAACGUCAAAUGGCGUAUUUUCAUUAGGAACUAAUUGACCUGCCCUCGAACAUUUCCAAAAAUUUGGAAGCAACAUAAAAAAUAAAAGAAAGUAUUAUGAUGAUAAUAAUGUCCCUAUUUUGCCAGUAUUAUAUAAUAGGAAAUACCUUUUAGAAACAAUAAAUAUUUUUUAUAAAACGUUUUUCAGUAUAAUAAUAAUUCUUAUUAGUAAUUCUUAAAAAAAAAACAAAUAUAGCAAAGUUUUUAUUUUAUAAAUUACAUCUUAGUAAGAGACAAUUAUUUUUGAAAUAAGAUAUUGCAAAUUAACGGUAUUUAAAUUAGUUUUUUAUUGCGAUAUAAUUCUAAAGCACUUUGUUCGCAACAAAAUAUAUAUUUUAUGUCAAGAUUAUUUUUCUUUUAACAUUACAGUGGCUAAAAAAGUUACUGUUCUGACUGGCAUAAUUGUUUUGCUCUUUGAUUUUUAUUAGUUCUCGCGUGAAGAUCACCCCUGAUCAAAGUACCCUUCUGAUAAAGUAGUUAUUUUGAAUUAUUUAUGAAUCAUUAUUUUUAUCAUUUCACCUUUAAGUAGUCGCGAGACGGCAAUUUAAAUUCAAGUGAUUAUCCAAUCAUCCAACUAUUAGUUUAGUGAUCUUGAAAAUUUACAAGCACUCGAAAUUUUAUAAUAAACUGAUCUAAUACGCCGAUCGGCGCAUACAAAUGGCGUUCCAGUAAGAAGUUUCAGAUGUUGGUAAUGAAUAAAAUAACAUGUUUCUAACAUACCUGCAAGUUAUUUAGAGCAGUGUCUAGCUGGACAGUGUACAAUUAUACGUGGCCACCACGACUUCUCCGGCAGCACAUAAUUCUUUUGUUGAAAUUUUCCAUUAUUUCUAAAUAUAUUUCUGAGGUACACGAAUUAUUCGUCUAAUUUCUUCUUUCAGUUAUUGAAUGGUUUGAGGAUUGUUUUCGUAAGCUUUGCUUUUUAUAUGGCCCCACAAUUAAUGAUCCAGUGGUGUCAAUUCGUUUGAUCGUGCUGGCCAAUUUACGUCCCCUUUACUUAAGGUAAUCCUCCCUCCAAACCCUGUAUACAAUAAUUUAAUGUGUCUCGUACAGUAUGACAUGUCGCAUUAUCUUGUUGGAAGCAUAUCAUUAAAUUCAUGUUCAUUAUCUCAUUCCAUAAUAAACCAUCAAUCAUUGUUCGGUAUCGCUCUCCAUUGUAACAGGUUGUUCGUCUUCAUUUUUUAAAAAUAUGGUCCAAUGAUACCCCCAAGUCAAAAACCGCACCGAACUGUGACAUGCUGAGUAAGUAUUGGCUUUUCGUAGAUUUGUCUAGGAUUUUCAUUGCUCUAGAUAGGACAAGUUCUGCUAAUGGCUAAAUUUUGCUAACGCCUUUUAACGGACAUUUGUGAUUUUUCAGCCACACUUUCACACAACAGUUGCACUUGCACAGAUCCGGUAGUUUCGAAAUUAUGCGAAUGGUUACUUCUGAGGAACGAUUGCGUACACCAAAGUAACGAAUUCGGCGACUGAACACCCCUUUUGAAAAUAUUUUUUAAUAACGUAAACACGUUGUUAGAUCGUAUAGUGCUACUUUUUUAAAAUUGUACUGAAUUCCCCAAUGAAAUAAAAACCAAAUAACAUAAACAAAGUUUUAGAUGAGUAUACUAGCAAAAAAAAAACAUUCGAAACCUCUUAUUUAUUAUAUUGGGAAAAGGACAUGAAGGCCUGUUGCUCUUUUUUUCUGAAAAAGUUGGCUUGAGGAUUAGCAAAGCCCUGUUGAUGGAAAGAAACGACGACUUACAAAGUGCGAGAAAAAUUUGAAUACGACUUCAAAGUAAUUUUCAAGAAAGUCUCGAGAAAAACCGUCAGAUCGUCAGAUGGUUCGAAGAAAUGAUGCAAUAUUUGUCCCACAUCAAAAAAAAUAAGCUUGGUAGAGUAAGUUAAUUCGUUUACCAGACGCAUCUUUUCCAAGGACGUUAAAGAAACUUUGCUAUAUCUAAAUUACUAUAAAAAAUCAUUAGGAUUUAAUUUAUAAACAGAAUUCCUAUAUUUUUCCUUUAUUUGUAAUUUGUUUAGUGUUUUCAUUCUACUAUAGUUUUUUUUGUAGAAAUUUUUGUUUUUAAGUUUUAUUUUAUUCAACCAUUUAGAUUAAUGUAUUUAUUUUAACAAUAUUAUAAUAGUGUAAUAAAAAGGAAAAUGAAAGAUCACUAAAAAGAUGCAAAAAUUGCCUGUCCUACGUUGACGUCAUAUGGUGCCGCGCGACUACUUAAAGGUUUAAUAAUCUGGGAUUUAUAGAAAAUUACAUUUAAAUGUCAUAUUUAUGCCGGCAUUAAUAGGCAAAAUUGCCAGUCCUGAUGCAGACUUACGUUUUUUUAUUAAUUUUGUUUAACUUCAGAUACCUAAAUUUAUUCACUAAGAGUCUUAUUUAAAAUAAGGUUUUUAACUUUUAAGCGAUUCAAAGCAGGACUUCUCAAAGGUGAAGAUAAUAUGUUGAAGAGUACACGUACUUAAAAUUACUUUAAAAUCGCCAUGACAAAACCACGGUUUUCAUACUGCAUUUAAAACUGUUUUAUUGUGAAACUUUAAGUUUUAUAUAGAUGUUGAUGUUUCAGUAUCCAGAAUUAUAAUAUGUACGUAUAUAUAAAAUAUUCAAAUAUGGACAAUAGUGUCUCAAUCGUUUCAAAUUUUAAAGUAUAAUUCGACUUUUUGUUUGUGAGCUACAUAUAUCGCCUAGACUUUAGGCAAGAAUAUUACAUUUAAAUUAUCUUGUUUAUCUAUUUAAACAUCACCAAAUUAUUGCCGAGACUCCAUUACCAUAUCAUUGUAUUUGAUUCCUAAGAAUUUCAAGUCGUUUUAUUUAUUUUUUUGUAAUAUAUUGUAACUGAUUAGAGCCUUAUUCUUGUCCAUUUAUUUAGGGCUCUAAUAAAUAUAUUUAUGUAUUAGCUGUGUAGUUUAAGUCUGGCCAUAAUAUAUAUGUAAUAAUUGGAAAAUUGUAGAUGUGUAUAUAUAUAUAUAUAUAUAUCUGUAUGUAUGUAUGUAUUAUGUAGAUAAGCAUACUAGUUGAUUUAUAGGAAGAGUUAUAAAUUAUACCGUGCAGUCGUUGGCAGAAAUUAAAAUGGUAGAUUUAAUAUUGAAAUAAAGGAGUUAUUAAUCUAGAGAAAGUGCAGUAGAAAAAAUAUUUCAAAUUAUUGUUUAUUAUAAUAAUUAGUUCUUAGCUGUAAAAAAUCUACUUAAUACGUUGAAAACAUUAAAUAUACAUAUUCAGACAUGCCCGUUGAAAUAGGGCAAUAUAUAAAAGAAAUAUUAGGGUAAUUGUUAUAAAUGCUUUUUUCGACGCCCCAAACGCCAAAAAUGAAAUACAAACAUUAUGGUUUUAAUUAUCCUUAGGUGGUAGUACUAGUACAGUAAUAAGGAGCUCCGAAAAUAUUUAUUUCGAACGGUGACUCAUUGUGUUCGUUUUAUUCUUUUCCCACUCGUUCCUUUAGACUUUUUCAUUGUAUUACAACAUCAAAUUUGUUGCCAUUCGGAGGUUAUAUAAUAUUUACAUUGAAGCUGUAUUUCUUGUAUUGGUAUAUUCUGACAUAAUUUGUCGUUUGAGAGAUAUAUGUUGUGGGAAAAUCGCUCUAUAUGGUGAACUCUUUUGGCACGUCUCGAUGUGCAAUUUGUGAUAGACAAAGCACUUCUUUUAAUCGGGAAAUUAUAGCUUGAACGGGUUUAAACCCUACACCAAUUGUAUGAUAUAUUUUUUUAAAUAUGAUUUUGCUUCAAUGCGAAUACUAUUAGUUUUUUAGAUAUAAAACUUUAACGUGCGUGAUCAGAUUUCUCUCUAGUCAUAUUCCAUAUACGAAUCCAACAGGCAAUAUAUACUAGGAUGAAAGUCUUUGUAUAUACAAGGUUGAAUUUAACCAGAAAGGUAGGAUUAGGUUUUAAUGAAACAGUCCUUGAUUAAAAUUACCAAUUAUUUUUAUCUGACUGUUAUUUCAGAAUUAAGUUACAGUAUCCUUUGUGAAGUGCAUUUUACAGUCCGUAUUUUACUUUGUAGUGUAAAUGUGAGUCACAUAGAGCAACGUUAGAAUAUUUAACUGGCUUCUUGUUUAUGCGCCCCGACAUAGUAGCAAUGCUGUUUUUUGCCUCUAGGGCUUUGAAUACCAUGAAUUCAUUCUUUGUUGAUUGAUGAAAUUUAUUUACAGAUCUUCUUAAAUCUUUGCUGCCUAAAAGCUCAUCAAUUUUUUUCAUAUUUUAUAGAAAAUACUACAACUUAACUAGAAUUGGAAGUUUACGAAGAACUCUUAUCCCUCUAGUUAAAACUAAAUUGCAGUUUUCAAAAUUGUCGUAACUGCAGCUAGACAAAGAUAAUAUUCUGAACAAAUCUUUGUUAACUCGAUUUAGGGCAGAGGGUACAAAUGGAAGUUAAGAUGAAGUACUGAAUAAAUUGUCAAUCAACAAAGCUCAUAAUAAGAAGAGUUGGAUAGAGAGAAAUAGAAAAAGAUUUACGUUUGAAGAGAAGAAUUAAGAAUAGAAGGCUUAACACAUUAACGUUCUGUAUGUGGUACACUGUGACAUCUACUAAAAUAUAGUUUUCUUCUAAGUAUAUUUACUGACUAACUGGGUCUGCUGGCUAUGGAGAAUGUGAUCAUGAUCCAUCAACGUUACUAUCAUUCAACGUGUUAAGUAUAUUUUUUCUAAAUAUUGCAAGGUCCUUUCCAGCCAUAUAUUCAGUAUUACUUACUAUAUACAACUCUGCGAUUGCGUUUACCACAUAAUGAACCCAUUGAUGACCUUUCUCUCUUAUAAUAACUACUAUAUAAUAAUUAUUAAUUAGAUAUCAUUAGUUUGUAUGGAUUAUUUAUAAAAUUGAAGAGAAGACUAGUUCUGUGAUAUUUUUAUCUCUUUACUACAUUUAAGUACCUAUAUUUAUUUAUACCAGUGAGUAUUACUAAUGUUCAAUUCAAUUUUUACAGGAAAAAAAUCUAUUCCAUACUUUGGUAAGGCCUAAUAAAAAUAUUAUAUUAUAUUCCUGAUUGUAAAAAAUGUACUUUUGUAAUCUGCUAUGUGACAAAAUUUUUAUAAUCUGUUAGUAAAUUGAUGCGAGCUCUACGCUCGUAGAAUAACGUUAAUAUGUUUUUGUAAGAUUUUUUGUAGGCCAACUAGCGUUCUGUUAUUUACAGGGUUGUAUACAGGGUGUUCUUUCAAAAAUAUUCCUAAUUUUGUAUAUCUUAUACAACCCCUAGUUACCAAAGCAUAAUUUCUAUGCUGCAGAUUAUUUGUUUGAGAGUUUAUCUAUUUUUUUGUAUAUGUGUAAAUGUGAUUUUAUGCCGAAGCCCCAGCAAAGUCCAUAAAUGAUUUUAAUCGUGUUAUUCGUAGGCUAUACUUUUGUAAUCCGUUAAGCGAAGUGGAAAUCAGAGCGGUGGAAGAUACUGUACGGCGACGGUCACUAUGCGGACUAGACCUCGCAAACCAAUGCGUUUUUUCAGCGGUAAAUGUAGUCGUAUAAACCAUUUCAAAUUAAAGUAUGCAAUGAAUGCAGACGCUUUGCUUUUGGCUAUGUUAGCUGACGAAAUGCCAAGAUAAGUUUGAAAUUAGGUUCCUAUUUAUAAUGUUCCAAUUUAUAAUGUAAGAUUUAAGUAUAAUAAUAAUUUGGAUUAAAAAAAAAGGGCGGUCUAGACACAACGUCUUACCAAACGAUAAAACGUUCAUCCGAAUCGUUCGAUAAGAAGUACAAAAGAAGGGCGGCCACACGUAUCUAACUUAUCGGUCAAAUUUUAGUUUCGCGACGCUUUUGGUCAUGGAAGAAGCGCUUCUUUGGCCGCUCUAUGCUAUUUGCAUUGCAUUAAAAAGCACAAAUAAACGAAAAAAAUCGAAGAUUAAAAUGGUCGAGGGAAUGGCUGUUAAAAAAAACGGGCAUUUUCUCAUGUCAGAUUAUUACGUGAACUACUUAAAACCAGAUGAUUGGCGUAAUUACUCGAGGAUGGUACUGAAACUUACAACCAUUUUUUAAAAUCUGCUACUCCUUACAUUAAAACGCAAAACACAUACAUGAGAAAAGUCAUUUCAGCUCAUGAGAGACUUAUUGCCUCUUUAAGAUUUGCAACAGGAAGAAGCUACAAGAUUUGGAAGUCACCACCAUCAUGUCCAAGCAAUCACUGAGAGAAAUAAUACCGGAAGCUUGUGACGCUAUGUACAGGAUUUUAAAAAAAGACUACCUAAAGGUAAGUUUUAGAAAAUAUUUUUAUUAGAGAUGAACUAAAUAUUAUUGAAGAAGAAAAGUAAAAAAAUAAAAAACGUCUUCUAUAAUAAAUACAUAAAUAAACACUUCCUGUUAUUAAUUUAGUUUCUUAUUGUUAUUAUUUUGGUGAUACCACGUUUCUUAUUUCUUUAAACACUCUUAUUGGAUUUAAAAUAUAAAACAUACUGAACAAUAUUUUUGGGAUUAGAGUCUGUGUCCUUUUCUGAAAAUAGGGUUCGGUCGUCUGAUCUGUCUGGCCAAUCUCAAGUAGCGAGUGAUAAGGUUCUUCUUUGUUUGUUUGUUGUGAAAAUUUUGUACCUGAUGAAAAGAUGCCCCUUUAUGGUAUUUGCUACUGAUUAUGGAAUGAUGUGAAGUACGGAUUUUGUUCAAUAUUGGAAAAAGUAAAAUUUGUGUUAGCGGGUUCCACGCCGGAGGAGGAGGUAUUAUUUGUAGCUGUUGGGCAUGCUGUUUUUGGCCGAUUUCCAAUUUGGAUUACUCUUGAUGCCAGCCUUGACUUGGAAUUUGUCCAUUUGGUUCGAUAUUGGUGACGGUGUAUGGUAUAUUGAUGGUUAAAGUGUUGCUUUCUGAUUUCUCGUUGAGACUGUUGAGGAAGAGGGUGUUGGUCUUAGUUAUAAUUUUGGAACAUCUAUUUAAGGAUCAUAUGUCCGCCUUAAAUAAAACAUUAGAGAUAAGUUUCAUUGCAAACUUAAAUUGAUCAGGAUGGACUGCUCGAAGUCUAACAGCGAUAUAUUUUCCAAAUCGGCCAUGUCAAUCUUCCUGCAAUAAUUCCAAUUUACUUCAAUAAUUCCUUUGUAAUAAUUCCUUUUUAUAUGAUAUUUUAUACUCUGAUAUGCUAAGUCAAUCUGAAAGAAUAAAACAUUACAACUUUAUAAAAAAAAUAAAAAUACAACGUGAAGAAAAGGUAUAAAAAAUUAAGCAUAUUUGAUGCAAAUCAAAAUUCCAUUAACUAAUUUAAUAAUAAUAGUUCAAUUUUUUUACAUUUUUUUGCUAAAUUUAAUUAAAUGAUAAGAACUUGCAUUUAUUAGUUACCUACUUUAAAGGUAAGAGAGAGGUAAGUAAUGUAGUUUCUUUCUCUGUUUUAGUUUCCAAAGAACGAACAAGACUUGUUACAAAUAGCAGCCGACUUUGAAACAAAAUGGCAAAAAAAUCAUCAUUGGCAGUAUUGAUAGCAAGCAAAUCAGGAUUGUUCGACCCAAGGGAAGCUGAUAUUAUUAUUUUAACUACAAAAAGACGCAUAGCAUAGUUCUUUUGGCAAUAGCUAAUGCGAACUGUGAGUUUAUCUACUGCGAUGCUGGCACAAAUGGUAGGUUCUCUAAUGGUGGAGUAAUUGCUAAUAUCACAUUUUAUGAAAAACUAGUUAGUAUCCAGAAUCUAUGUUAAUUCUAAAGAAAUUCUUGAAUAUAUGUUUAUUGAUGAUGAGGCUUUUGCAAUGCGUCCAGAGCUUAUUAAGCCAUAUAGUAGGGAAACACUUAAUAGAGAUUGAAGAAUUUGUAACUAUCGGUUAUCCAGAGUCCGACGGACUAUUGAAAACAAUUUCGGAACUUUAGCGUCCCGUUUUCGAGUUAUCCACACUGCUAUAAAUUUGAAGAUAGAAAACAUUGACAAGGUUGUUUUAACAUAUUGCGCAUUACAUAAUUUUUUUCGCAAACAAUCUCCACAAAAUUACACACCUCCAAAAAGUAUGGAUAGAGAAAUUUUUCCUGUAGAUUAUUCUCUUGAGUUAGGAGACAGGUGUGAUCCUAAUUUAAUGCAUGACCUUCAAAGAGGAAGAAGAGGCCAAAUUUUAAAUAAUGCAAAAAUAGAGAAAAGUUUUGUGGCCAUUUUACCAAUGAGGCUCAGUCCCAUGGCAACAUAAUAUAGUUUUUCAGUAGUAGGUCAUAGUUUGUAGUACAUGUUAUAAAAAGAGAAUUGAAUGCUUAUAGAAUCUACUUAUAUUAUUAAAUAUACAUUACUUACCUCUUUUUCACUUUCCUGUUGUCCCUCAUCAUCGAUAGUAUUUGUCGAUUGUCUCAUUUGAUCUUGGUCACUCAGAAACUCAAGUAUAUCAAAGUAACAUAACGUCGGUUUGUAAAUAUCAUCUUCACCAGCAAUGAAUAUUAUCAAUUUCCUUGUAUUUUUCAAUCAUUAUUUCAUAUGCGUCUGACUUCUUAUUCCGACCACUAUAAUACUGGGCACUUUUAACUCGCCACAAACAAGGAAAAUCACGAUACAGUUUAAUCAAAUCCCUUAAAAAUUAUCGGAAACAAUGACGAAGAUCAGACAUAUUGCUUUUAAAUUUUUAAAAACAAAAUAUCUUUAAAUACGCAUACACGAAGCAACACAGUGCGAUAUAUACUACAAAAAUAUACUAAAACAAUUUUCGAUAAAACUAAAGUUUGUCCACACGCUUCAACUUUUCGAAUCAAUUUUCAUAAAAUGAUGCAUUCCACAUCAUAUUUUCGACUUAUGGGUACAACCUUAUUUCGAUCAUGCAAGACGUACUUUUUGUGUUCUACACGCGCCGUUUUACUUCAUGCGACUUGUCUGAUUCGAUAAAUUGUUUAAUAAGACGUUGUGUCUGGACGGCCUUUAAAGAUCGAUUAUUUGGAUGAAAUUUUGAGAAUUUAAAACCAAGGCAGAAUACUAAUAGAACUGAAUAAUUAGUAAGAUAUAAAAUAAAUAAAUAAUAAUAUUUAUGAAGAUUUAAUUAAGAUUUUAUAUUUCAAACAAAUACAAAAUUAAUUUUACUUCAGUCAAGUAUUACUAACUAUACUAAGUAUUGUAAGCAUGUUUUUAUAGAAUUGUAUUUAUUAUUAUUAUAUUUUUCUAUGUAGCAAUUUGCUAAAUAAAUAAACAUUAUUAUUAUUAUUAUUGUUAUUAUUAUUAAGCAUUUCCGGGGUAAGCGGGUAAAGCGGGCACGUUGAAUGGAACGCGCUUCGAUUUAAUUAAAGGCAUAUAUUAUCAUCUGUUCACCACCGCUCUGAUUCGCGCUUCGCUUUGGGUUUUAUAUAUUUAUUCGUUUGCGCAAAGUAAAAGACCGAUCUUUUCUAAUUAAUGACCUUAAGCUAUGGCAGAAUAAACCGUAUUCAAAUAAAUAAUGUAUGCAAUAGAUACGCGUCCAAGGACACCUGUUUAUUCUGCAUAGGAAAUUUAAUAUCUUAGAUAUAAAACUGAAGAAAUUUUUAUAACAGCUAUUAUAAAGCUGGUUUAAAGGGGCCACCUUUAGAUAAUUCUCUUCAUAGACAGUCCGUUCAAUUUAGAAAUUAUAUACCUUACAUUAAGGAUCUAGUACUAAAUCAAUUAAUCUUUUGUUUUCUUUUUACUGUACUAUUGUCAGUAAGACUAUUUCUUUGUUUUAGCCUGUUAGUAGUCUUAAAUAUAAUGCUAUUUCUAUGAAUGUUAAAUAUAUGGCAUGAAACGAGGAAGUAAAGUAAAGGCUCCACAGUAUUAAACUACCCUUUUUAAAAGUUAUUUUUCAUAUUUAUUUCUUCUUUUUAAUAUCAUUGAUCGGUCAAGUGAGUUAUAUGCUAUGAAUUGUUAUUUAGAUAUUUCGAUGGUCAAAUAUUUUAUAACGUCCUAUAUUAGGCCACUAAUUUUAAAAAAUAUAUAACGAAACAAAUCCGGAAUUUAAUAUUUGCCAAUUAAAAAAAAUUGUACCCUGAAUAUCAUCCUAUUAUUAUUUUUUAUUUUGACAAGAGUGUAAGCGACUUUAAAUGGGGUUAAAUAGAUUGGAUUAAAAUAAUAUACAUAUAUUGUGUUAUUUGUUAAAUGUUAACUAUAUUUUAGGACAAGUUAAUGGUUCCUGUGGCACGUCACAGGUAUUUUUGUUGGUUGUAUUAUUGUACUCUGUAUCAACUGUGCUAAUAUGUACUUAAUAAACAUGGUUGUGGAUACGUGUAA